CAGGAUCCCAGCAGAGCAGGGAGCCCGAUGUGGGGCUCCAUCCCAGGACCCUGGGAUCACACCCUGAGCCGAAGGUGGACCUUAACGACUGAGCCACCCAGGCGCCCCAAUUCUUGUCUUUGUUGACGAUGUUCAUCACGUGGCAGGCAUAGUGGUGAGGGCUUUAUGUACAUUGUCUUAUCUGUCUGCUCAGCUUCCCACUGAGGUAGGUACUGUUAUUAGCCCCACUUUACAGAUGAAGGAAAUCAAAGCACAGAGAGAUGAAGUAACUUGCCCAAGUCUUCAGAGCAGACCAGUACUACAGACGGGAUCCAGCCUUCGCUUCAAGCAAUUAUGCUGCUUUCCUAGUAGCCGCUUGGUUACAGAUUAUAUGAAAAUUGGCCAUACCCAUCAAACCAAAUCCCAUCACAGCAACAAAACGAUACCAUCAUUUUUAUGUGACUCAUAUGCAAAACAAAAUUCACUCAACUGUGUGGUCCACUGA
Molecule: long non-coding RNA, 484 nt
Organism: Ursus maritimus (polar bear)
Lineage: Eukaryota; Metazoa; Chordata; Mammalia; Carnivora; Ursidae
Source: Ensembl